UUCAGGCAGUGGCAAGCGUUUUUGUGGCUUUCCAAGUGAAAAAGGAAUACGUGACCAGUGGAUAAGGAAAGUCAAUCAACAGGGGAAGAAGCAUGGUCAGCUAUGGGUGCAUAGUAAGCAUUCCAAGCUCUGUGCUAAUCACUUCGAACUGGCGUGUUUUGAGAAAGCAUUGGAUACAGAGGUAGAGGCUGAAAUCAGCUGUGGUGCCAACUAUUUUUCCUACGGCCAUCGGGACCUCAACUGCCAGCAAGAGAAAUAAAUCUCGCAGCCGCCACGGUGCGGCGGCGCAGACAGGAGCUGCUACUUGGCUGCUCGUCGUCAUCACUGUCAGGUUCCGACCUCCUGAUUGGCUCAAACAUGUAUGGUUUGACGAUGCCAAGUUCAAUCGGGUGCUCCUAUUAAUGCCAAGCUCACCCAAAUUAACCAACCCAGUGCCAACCAAGCCUCUUCUUCUGCCAUCUGCCCUUGCUCCCUGCAAACCAGUGCUCACCUCUUGCGGCCCACCGACAACCCAGACUCCUACCCUGCCAGACCGGCCCUCGUUGGAACCCUGCCAAUCCCGGAUUUAGUUCUCAGAGUUCCUUUGUUCAGUUCCAAGCUGCAAUAAACCUUUGUUCACAAACUCA
Phyllopteryx taeniolatus (common seadragon) is the source of this 626-nucleotide long non-coding RNA. RefSeq lists it as uncharacterized. Lineage: Eukaryota; Metazoa; Chordata; Actinopteri; Syngnathiformes; Syngnathidae. The transcript is spliced from 4 exons. The record is from RefSeq and is a predicted model, not a curated record.